GUCGAACGCUGGCGGCGUGCUUAACACAUGCAAGUCGAACGGAAAGGCCCUGCUUGUGUGGGGUGCUCGAGUGGCGCACGGGUGAGUAACACGUGAGUAACCUGCCCUUGACUUUGGGAUAACUUCAGGCAACUGGGGCUACUACCGGAUAGGAGCUCCUGCUGCAUGGUGGGGGUUGGAAAGUUUCGGCGGUUUGGGGUGGACUGGGGGCUUAUCAGCUUGUUGGGGGGGUAGUGGCUUACCAGGGCUUUGACGGGUAGCCGGCCGGGGGAGGUGUCCGGCCACAUUGGGACUAAGGGACGGCCCAGACUCCUACGUGAGACAGUAGUGGAGAAUAUUGCACAGUGGGCGGAAGCCUGAUGCAGCAGCGCCGCGUGCGGAAUGACGGCCUUCGGGUUGUAAACCGCUUUCGCCUGUGACGAAGCGUGAGUGACGGUAAUGGGUAAAGAAGCACCGGCUAACUACGUG
Molecule: ribosomal RNA, 468 nt
Filed under: uncultured bacterium
Lineage: Bacteria
Description: partial 16S ribosomal RNA
Rfam family: Bacterial small subunit ribosomal RNA
Source: RNAcentral